Molossus molossus (Pallas's mastiff bat) is the source of this 2548-nucleotide RNA transcript. It is a transcript of the gene named spermatogenesis associated 5 like 1, with no coding region annotated. Lineage: Eukaryota; Metazoa; Chordata; Mammalia; Chiroptera; Molossidae. The transcript has 8 exons. The record is from RefSeq and is a predicted model, not a curated record.
CUGCUUCCGGCCGGGAAGUUUAGUGUACCAGCCUUUCCGGCUCGGGGGGAAUUCCUACCCCACUUUCCUCGGCCUAGGUUCCUCCGUGUGCAAUGGCUCCGGACUCAGGCUCCCUUCCCGAAGGACCUAUCUUAAAGCUCCUACCCUUAGACACUAAGGACCGGGGCACCCAGCGCUGUCGCCUGGGCCCGGCAGCCUUCCGUGCCUUGGGCGCGCACUUGGGCUCGGCGGUGAAGAUCUCGCUGCCUGACGGCGGCUCCUGCCUUUGCACCGCCUGGCCGCGGCGGGACGGAGCGGAUGGGUUUGUGCAACUGGAUACGCAGUGCGCGAGUCCCGGGUCGGCAGUCGGGGCGCCGGGGUCCCGGGGAAGCCUCAGCUUGAGCCGCCUCCGCCUGGUGCCCUGCCCACCCCUUCGGCGCCUCACUGUGUGGCCGGAGUUGCGGGAGCGGGCGGGCGCCCCCGCUGCCCCGAGUCCAGCCGCGGUGCUGGAGGCCGCGCAGGAGAUGCUGAGGAACCGGCCCGUCUCCCGGGGCCACGUGGUGGCCGCUCCGUCGGGCGUCCCCGGCCCGGUAGCUGCCCUGCACAUCGUCAGCGGGGUGCCCAGCCCGGAUCCGGCUGGGCUGGUCACCCCUCACACCCGCAUCGGUCUCGGCGCGGUGCCUCCGUCGGAAGCGCAGCCGCAGCCCGAGGUGCCCCUGGGGGGCCUUUCGGAGGCGGCCGACUCGCUGCGAGAGCUCCUCCGCCUGCCGCUCCGCUACCCCCGCACCUUGGCCGCGCUGGGGCUAGCAGUGCCCCGCGGGGUGCUCCUGGCGGGUCCCCCGGGAGUGGGCAAGACCCAGCUAGUGCGGGCCGUGGUCCGGGAGGCGGGCGCGGAGCUGCUGGCAGUGAGCGCUCCCGCGCUGCAGGGCGCCCGGCCCGGGGAGACCGAGGAGAACGUGCGGCGGGUCUUCCAGCGUGCCCAGGAGCUGGCCAGCCGCAGGCCCACCCUCCUCUUCCUGGACGAGGUGGACGCCCUGUGCCCCCGGCGGGGCGGCGCCCACCAAGCCCCCGAGGGCCGCGUGGUGGCCCAGGUGUUGACGCUGCUGGACGGCAUCAGUGGAGACCGCGAGGUGGUUGUGGUGGGAUCCACCAACCGGCCGGACGCGCUGGACCCCGCGCUGCGCAGACCCGGGAGAUUUGACCGAGAGAUUGUCAUUGGGACUCCCACACUUAAACAAAGAAAGGCGAUUCUACAGGUGAUUACCUCAAAGAUGCCCAUCUCUGGUCAAGUCGAUUUGAGCCUCCUUGCAGAAAUGACAGUUGGCUACGUUGGUGCAGACCUGACCGCACUCUGUAGGGAGGCUGCCCUGCAUGCUUUACUUCACAGUGAAAAGAACCAGGACAAUCCAAUGAUUUAUGAAACAGACUUCCUUGAAGCUUUUAAAAAGAUUCAACCUUCAUCAUUUCGAAGUGUCAUUGGACUGAUGGAUAUCAAGCCUGUUGGCUGGGAGCAGAUUGGUGGCCUUGAAGAUGUAAAACUGAAGUUAAAACAGAGCAUUGAAUGGCCUCUGAAAUUCCCUCGCGAAUUUGUCAGGAUGGGCUUGACCCAACCAAAGGGAGUUCUCCUAUAUGGCCCUCCUGGAUGUGCUAAAACCACCCUGGUGAGGGCUCUGGCCACAAGCUGUCAUUGCUCCUUUGUUUCAGUGAGUGGGGCUGAUCUCUUUUCACCUUUUGUUGGAGAUUCAGAAAAACUCUUGUCUCAGGUGUUUCAGCAAGCAAGAGCAAACACUCCAGCAAUUGUGUUUUUGGAUGAAAUUGAUUCAAUCGUGGGCUCUCGAUCAGUCAGCAAAGCAGGAUGUAAUGUUCAAGAGCGUGUUCUUUCUGUUCUCCUGAACGAAUUAGAUGGUGUUGGACUGAAAACUAUCGAGAGAAGAGGAAGUAAAUCAGAUCAACAGGGUAAAUACAAGGAGCUGAAAAAAAAUGAAGAGAGUGUCAAGAAGUUUUUAAUCAAAAUGUCAUGAUUGUUGCGGCAACAAAUAGACCAGAUGUGUUAGAUGAUGCCUUGCUACGGCCUGGAAGAUUAGAUAAGAUCAUUUAUAUUCCACCUCCAGAUGAAAAGGGCAGGCUUUCUAUUUUGAAAGUCUGUACAAAAAACAUGCCAGUGGGGCCUAAUGUUUCUUUAGAAAACCUGGCAGCAGAAACCUGUUUUUUCUCUGGAGCUGAUCUUGGAAACCUCUGCAAAGAAGCUGCCUUGCUGGCUCUGCAAGAAGAUGGCCUAGAAGCAACCGCAGUGAAACAGGAGCACUUUCUAAAAUCACUUAAGACUGUGAAACCAUCCUUAAGUCACAAGGAUUUGACUUUGUAUAAAAACUUGUUUCAGAAACAAGGAUUCUCUAACGUAGAGGAUGUUUAAGAAUCACAUACCUGCUCAAGGGUCCGUUGAAAUGUGCACUUGCACUGUCGUUUGCAGCUUCACUUUUAGAGUCUGUGUAUAUGUUAUUUCCUGUAAAUAAAGAAAACCAAACAUGUGGCUGAUAAGCCAAGAUUCAUCUUGUUUCUAAAAGGAAUA